UGGCGAACGGGAGAGUAAUGUAUCGGAACAUGCCAUGUAGUGGGGGAUAACGCUUCGAAAGGAGUGCUAAUACCGCAUAAUGCCUGAGGGCUAAAGGAGGGGAUCGUAAGACCUUUCGCUAUAUGAGUGGCCGAUAUCUGAUUAGCUAGUUGGUGAGGUAAAGGCUCACCAAGGCGACGAUCAGUAGCGGGUCUGAGAGGACGACCCGCCUCACUGGAACUGAGACACGGUCCAGACUCCUACGGGAGGCAGCAGUGGGGAAUUUUGGACAAUGGGCGCAAGCCUGAUCCAGCCAUGCCGCGUGUCUGAAGAAGGCCUUCGGGUUGUAAGGGACUUUUGUUGGGGAGCAAAUGCUGAUCGCUAAUACCGAUUGGAGCUGAGAGUACCCAAAGAAUAAGCACCGGCUAACUACGUGCCAGCAGCCGCGGUAAUACGUAGGGUGCAAGCGUUAAUCGGAAUUACUGGGCGUAAAGGGUAUGCAGGCGGUUUUGUAAGCUUGAUGUGAAAUCCCCGGGCUUAACCUGGGAACUGCAUUGAGAACUACAAGACUAGAGUGUGUCAGAGGGGGGUGGAAUUCCGCGUGUAGCAGUGAAAUGCGUAGAUAUGCGGAGGAACACCGAUGGCGAAGGCAGCCCCCUGGGAUAACACUGACGCUCAGAUACGAAAGCGUGGGUAGCAAACAGGAUUAGAUACCCUGGUAGUCCACGCCCUAAACGAUGUCAACUAGCUGUUGGGGUUUGAAAUCCUUGGUAGCGUAGCUAACGCGAGAAGUUGACCGCCUGGGG
This 785-nucleotide ribosomal RNA is filed under the name uncultured bacterium. RNAcentral's name for it is "bacterial SSU rRNA". It matches the Rfam family "Bacterial small subunit ribosomal RNA", at positions 96 to 878 of the family's 1533-position model. The record is from RNAcentral.